UAAAGUGGUGUAAUGGCACACAGAUUUUUGGUGUCUGUGGAAGUUUUUUCGUAGGGCUCUUUACUA
This 66-nucleotide transfer RNA is filed under the name Xyloredo sp. E89. RNAcentral describes it as "tRNA-Gln". The record is from RNAcentral. Lineage: Eukaryota; Metazoa; Mollusca; Bivalvia; Myida; Pholadidae.